CAACUACGUGCCAGCAGCCGCGGUAAGACGUAGGGCGCGAGCGUUGUCCGGAUUUAUUGGGCGUAAAGAGCUCGUAGGCGGCUUGUCACGUCGACCGUGAAAACCUGGGGCUCAACCCCAAGCCUGCGGUCGAUACGGGCAGGCUAGAGUUCGGUAGGGGAGACUGGAAUUCCUGGUGUAGCGGUGAAAUGCGCAGAUAUCAGGAGGAACACCGGUGGCGAAGGCGGGUCUCUGGGCCGAUACUGACGCUGAGGAGCGAAAGCGUGGGGAGCGAACAGGAUUAGAUACCCUGGUAGUCCACGCUGUAAACGUUGGGCGCUAGGUGUGGGGGGCCUCUCCGGUUCUCUGUGCCGCAGCUAACGCAUUAAGCGCCCCGCCUGGGGAGUACGGCCGCAAGGCUAAAACUCAAAGGAAUUGACGGGGGCCCGCACAAGCGGCGGAGCAUGCGGAUUAAUUCGAUGCAACGCGAAGAACCUUACCUGGGUUUGACAUGGCCGCAAAACUGUCAGAGAUGGCAGGUCCUUCGGGGGCGGU
Molecule: ribosomal RNA, 534 nt
Filed under: uncultured Micromonospora sp.
Lineage: Bacteria; Bacillati; Actinomycetota; Actinomycetes; Micromonosporales; Micromonosporaceae
Description: bacterial SSU rRNA
Rfam family: Bacterial small subunit ribosomal RNA
Source: RNAcentral